Molecule: ribosomal RNA, 333 nt
Filed under: uncultured bacterium
Lineage: Bacteria
Description: bacterial SSU rRNA
Rfam family: Bacterial small subunit ribosomal RNA
Source: RNAcentral
UGCGUAGGCGGUUUGGUAAGUCUUGUGUGAAAUCUAUGGGCUCAACUCAUAGUCUGCACGAGAAACUGCCGGGCUUGAGUGUGGGAGAGGUGAGUGGAAUUCCUGGUGUAGCGGUGAAAUGCGUAGAUAUCAGGAGGAACACCUGUGGCGAAAGCGGCUCACUGGACCAUAACUGACGCUGAUGCACGAAAGCUAGGGGAGCAAACAGGAUUAGAUACCCUGGUAGUCCUAGCCCUAAACGAUGACUGCUUGGUGUGACGGGUACCCAAUCCCGCCGUGCCGUAGCUAACGCGUUAAGCAGUCCGCCUGGGGAGUACGGUCGCAAGGCUAGAA